This 427-nucleotide ribosomal RNA is filed under the name uncultured bacterium. RNAcentral's name for it is "bacterial SSU rRNA". It matches the Rfam family "Bacterial small subunit ribosomal RNA", at positions 357 to 775 of the family's 1533-position model. The record is from RNAcentral.
GGGAAUAUUGGGCAAUGGGCGAAAGCCUGACCCAGCGACGCCGCGUGGGUGAUGAAGGCCUUCGGGUUGUAAAACCCUUUCGUGCGGAAAGAAUAGUCCUGUAGCGAAUAACUACGGGAUUUGACGGUACCGCAGGAAGAAGCACCGGCUAACUCCGUGCCAGCAGCCGCGGUAAUACGGAGGGUGCAAGCGUUGUUCGGAAUUAUUGGGCGUAAAGGGCGCGUAGGUGGUUGUGAUAGUCAGAUGUGAAAUCCUUCGGCUCAACCGAAGAACUGCAUCUGAAACUUCAUAGCUCGAGUACAGGAGAGGGAAACGGAAUUCCCGGUGUAGAGGUGAAAUUCGUAGAUAUCGGGAGGAACACCAGUGGCGAAGGCGGUUUCCUGGCCUGAUACUGACGCUGAGGCGCGAAAGCGUGGGGAGCAAACAG